GCAAACUUGGUCAUUUAGAGGAAGUAAAAGUCGUAACAAGGUUUCCGUAGGUGAACCUGCGGAAGGAUCAUUAACUCCGAGUGUGUGCCUCGCGCUGCUGCCCUUCCGUGGUAAGUCUCGGGGACUCCCCCUGGCCGGCCCCUAGACGGGUCCUGACCCCAAGCCAGCCCCGAGCCCCAUGGAGCCCCAUGGAGCCUAGCUCUGGGGGGGCGCGCCAACCCUCGCGCAAUGUGUAGCCGUUGAGUGUCGCCUCGAGCCUCUUGAAACUCGCCUCAGCGUGGGAUCUGAACUGGAUGGAUGUCGGGAGACUGGAAAACUUUUAGCAACGGAUCUCUUGGUUCUGGCAUCGAUGAAGAACGCAGC
Molecule: unclassified non-coding RNA, 363 nt
Filed under: uncultured fungus
Lineage: Eukaryota; Fungi
Description: partial contains small subunit ribosomal RNA, internal transcribed spacer 1, and 5.8S ribosomal RNA
Rfam family: Eukaryotic small subunit ribosomal RNA (bases 1-73)
Source: RNAcentral